This 465-nucleotide ribosomal RNA is filed under the name uncultured Klebsiella sp. RNAcentral describes it as "bacterial SSU rRNA". It matches the Rfam family "Bacterial small subunit ribosomal RNA", at positions 338 to 795 of the family's 1533-position model. Lineage: Bacteria; Pseudomonadati; Pseudomonadota; Gammaproteobacteria; Enterobacterales; Enterobacteriaceae. The record is from RNAcentral.
CCUACGGGAGGCAGCAGUGGGGAAUAUUGCACAAUGGGCGCAAGCCUGAUGCAGCCAUGCCGCGUGUGUGAAGAAGGCCUUCGGGUUGUAAAGCACUUUCAGCGGGGAGGAAGGCGUUAAGGUUAAUAACCUUGGCGAUUGACGUUACCCGCAGAAGAAGCACCGGCUAACUCCGUGCCAGCAGCCGCGGUAAUACGGAGGGUGCAAGCGUUAAUCGGAAUUACUGGGCGUAAAGCGCACGCAGGCGGUCUGUCAAGUCGGAUGUGAAAUCCCCGGGCUCAACCUGGGAACUGCAUUCGAAACUGGCAGGCUAGAGUCUUGUAGAGGGGGGUAGAAUUCCAGGUGUAGCGGUGAACUGCGUAGAGAUCGGGAGGAAUACCGGUGGCGAAGGCGGCCCCCUGGACAAAGACUGACGCUCAGGUGCGAAAGCGUGGGGAGCAAACAGGAUUAGAUACCCGGGUAGUC